AUUGAACGCUGGCGGCAUGCCUAACACAUGCAAGUCGAGCGGAGCGUCGGACGGGCGAGUACUGCCUAGGAAUCAGCCUGGUGGUGGGGGAUAACGUCCGGAAACGGGCGCUAAUACCGCAUACUAUCAGAUGAGCCUAGGUCGGCUUAGCUAGUUGGGGGGGUAAAGGCUGACAAAGCAGACGAUCCGUAACUGGGCUGAGAGGAUGAUAAGUCACAUUGGGACCGAGACACGGUUCAGACUCCUAAGGGAGGCAGCAGUGGGGAAUAUUGGAAAAUGGGCGAAAGUCUGAUCCAGCCAUGCCGCGUGACUGAAGAAGGGUGUCGGAUUGUAAAGCACUGUGAGUAGGGAGGCGUUACCUAAAGAGAAAGCACCGGCUAACUUCGUGCCAGCAGCCGCGGUAAUUC
This 407-nucleotide ribosomal RNA is filed under the name uncultured bacterium. Its description in RNAcentral is "partial 16S ribosomal RNA". It matches the Rfam family "Bacterial small subunit ribosomal RNA", at positions 30 to 526 of the family's 1533-position model. The record is from RNAcentral.